Molecule: ribosomal RNA, 1352 nt
Filed under: uncultured bacterium
Lineage: Bacteria
Description: bacterial SSU rRNA
Rfam family: Bacterial small subunit ribosomal RNA
Source: RNAcentral
AUUGAACGCUGGCGGCAUGCCUUACACAUGCAAGUCGAACGGUAACGGGUCCUUCGGGAUGCCGACGAGUGGCGAACGGGUGAGUAAUAUAUCGGAACGUGCCCAGUAGUGGGGGAUAACUGCUCGAAAGAGCAGCUAAUACCGCAUACGACCUGAGGGUGAAAGGGGGGGAUCGCAAGACCUCUCGCUAUUGGAGCGGCCGAUAUCAGAUUAGCUAGUUGGUGGGGUAAAGGCCUACCAAGGCAACGAUCUGUAGUUGGUCUGAGAGGACGACCAGCCACACUGGGACUGAGACACGGCCCAGACUCCUACGGGAGGCAGCAGUGGGGAAUUUUGGACAAUGGGCGCAAGCCUGAUCCAGCAAUGCCGCGUGCAGGAAGAAGGCCUUCGGGUUGUAAACUGCUUUUGUCAGGGAAGAAAUCUUCUGGGCUAAUACCCCGGGAGGAUGACGGUACCUGAAGAAUAAGCACCGGCUAACUACGUGCCAGCAGCCGCGGUAAUACGUAGGGUGCGAGCGUUAAUCGGAAUUACUGGGCGUAAAGCGUGCGCAGGCGGCUUUGCAAGACAGAUGUGAAAUCCCCGGGCUCAACCUGGGAGCUGCAUUUGUGACUGCAAGGCUAGAGUACGGCAGAGGGGGAUGGAAUUCCGCGUGUAGCAGUGAAAUGCGUAGAUAUGCGGAGGAACACCAAUGGCGAAGGCAAUCCCCUGGGCCUGUACUGACGCUCAUGCACGAAAGCGUGGGGAGCAAACAGGAUUAGAUACCCUGGUAGUCCACGCCCUAAACGAUGUCAACUGGUUGUUGGACGGCUUGCUGUUCAGUAACGAAGCUAACGCGUGAAGUUGACCGCCUGGGGAGUACGGCCGCAAGGUUGAAACUCAAGGGAAUUGACGGGGACCCGCACAAGCGGUGGAUGAUGUGGUUUAAUUCGAUGCAACGCGAGAAACCUUACCUACCCUUGACAUGUCAAGAAUUCUGCAGAGAUGUGGAAGUGCUCGAAAGAGAACUUGAACACAGGUGCUGCAUGGCCGUCGUCAGCUCGUGUCGUGAGAUGUUGGGUUAAGUCCCGCAACGAGCGCAACCCUUGUCAUUAGUUGCUACGCAAGAGCACUCUAAUGAGACUGCCGGUGACAAACCGGAGGAAGGUGGGGAUGACGUCAGGUCCUCAUGGCCCUUAUGGGUAGGGCUACACACGUCAUACAAUGGCCGGUACAGAGGGCUGCCAACCCGCGAGGGGGAGCCAAUCCCAGAAAACCGGUCGUAGUCCGGAUCGUAGUCUGCAACUCGACUGCGUGAAGUCGGAAUCGCUAGUAAUCGCGGAUCAGCUUGCCGCGGUGAAUACGUUCCCGGGUCU